GAUGAAGAACGCAGCGAAAUGCGAUAAGUAAUGCGAAUUGCAGAUUUCAGUGAAUCAUCGAAUCUUUGAACGCACAUUGCGCCCGCUGGUAUUCCGGCGGGCAUGCCUGUUCGAGCGUCAUUUCAACCCUCAAACCCCCGGGUUUGGUGUUGGGGAUCGGCUCUGCCUCACGGCGGUGCCGCCCCCGAAAUACAUUGGCGGUCUCGCUGCAGCCUCCAUUGCGUAGUAGCUAACACCUCGCAACUGGAACGCGGCGCGGCCAUGCCGUAAAACCCCAACUUCUGAAUGUUGACCUCGGAUCAGGUAGGAAUACCCGCUGAACUUAAGCAUAUCAAUAAGCGGAGGA
Molecule: unclassified non-coding RNA, 346 nt
Filed under: soil metagenome
Description: partial contains 5.8S ribosomal RNA, internal transcribed spacer 2, and large subunit ribosomal RNA
Rfam family: 5.8S ribosomal RNA (bases 1-120)
Source: RNAcentral